GACGAACGCUGGCGGCGUGCCUAAUACAUGCAAGUAGAACGCUGAAGCGAGGAGCUUGCUCUUCUUGGAUGAGUUGCGAACGGGUGAGUAACGCGUAGGUAACCUGCCUUGUAGCGGGGGAUAACUAUUGGAAACGAUAGCUAAUACCGCAUAACAAUGGAUGACACAUGUCAUUUAUUUGAAAGGGGCAAUUGCUCCACUACAAGAUGGACCUGCGUUGUAUUAGCUAGUAGGUGAGGUAAUGGCUCACCUAGGCGACGAUACAUAGCCGACCUGAGAGGGUGAUCGGCCACACUGGGACUGAGACACGGCCCAGACUCCUACGGGAGGCAGCAGUAGGGAAUCUUCGGCAAUGGGGGCAACCCUGACCGAGCAACGCCGCGUGAGUGAAGAAGGUUUUCGGAUCGGAAAGCUCUGUUGUAAGUCAAGAACGGGUGUGAGAGUGGAAAGUUCACACUGUGACGGUAGCUUACCAGAAAGGGACGGCUAACUACGUG
Molecule: ribosomal RNA, 497 nt
Filed under: uncultured bacterium
Lineage: Bacteria
Description: partial 16S ribosomal RNA
Rfam family: Bacterial small subunit ribosomal RNA
Source: RNAcentral